UACGUAGGGUGCAAGCGUUGUCCGGAAUUAUUGGGCGUAAAGAGCUCGUAGGCGGUUUGUCGCGUCUGCUGUGAAAACUCAGGGCUUAACUCUGAGCUUGCAGUGGGUACGGGCAGACUAGAGUGCGGUAGGGGAGACUGGAAUUCCUGGUGUAGCGGUGAAAUGCGCAGAUAUCAGGAGGAACACCUGCGGCGAAGGCGGGUUGCUGGGCUGACACUGACGCUGAGGCGCGAAAGCCAGGGGAGCGAACGGG
RNAcentral lists this ribosomal RNA (253 nucleotides) under uncultured bacterium. Its description in RNAcentral is "partial 16S ribosomal RNA". It matches the Rfam family "Bacterial small subunit ribosomal RNA", at positions 524 to 776 of the family's 1533-position model. The record is from RNAcentral.